GAGGUGGUACCUCAGAAUUGUUUUAAUUUGCAUUUCUCCAGCCAAGAAUGAUUUAGAACAUUUUUAUAUGAUUAUUAAUAGUUUUGAUUUCUUCAUCUGAAACUGUUUAUUUAUAUCAUUUGACCAUUUAUCAAGUGGAGAAUGACUUUCAUUCUUAUGAAUUUGACUUAGUUCUCUAUAUAUUUGAGAAAUUAGACCCUUAUCAGAGAAAUUUGUUAUAAAACUUUUCCCCCUUUUGUUGUUUCCCUUCUAAUCUUGGUUACAUUGAUUGGACAAAAACUUGGAAUCUGAACUCCUGUGGCCAUUUCCCUUCUGACAGCAUUUGGAAAGAUCAACUUUUCCCUGGGACAGAGAAAGACCCCACUGAUCCAAUGGGGUUAGUCUGCUGCAGAAAAUCUCCUGGCUGCCUCUUUCCCAGAGUGAGGAUAAUCAAAUGAAAAGGCCACUGAUGACUGAUGAUUUUUCAUAAAUUGACUACGAGUUCCCAGAAACUACCCCUUUUGACUGAGGACUGAACUUAAAAGAAGACAAUCAAAUCCCAGGAACAAGAAACCCACUCCUUGGUCACCAGUUUGGGGCUUUUUUCAUAUUGCUCAAGUUUCUGUGAACUUAUUGUAAGAAGGUUUUUCUGUCCUUUCACAAGAUGAUUUAAACAUCUUCCCAGUAUCUCAUUGGAGGCUCCCAGUGCCAUGGUGCCUGUUGCUAUGGGGGAACCAAGAUUUGCAGUCUUUUGACUUUGAUUAAAGACCCUUUAUUAUUGCCACUUUGGUAUUUUUGUUUUAUUCAGGUUGACAAUUGAUAAUAUAUGACAUUUACAUAGUGUUUAACAUUUGCACAAUGCUUUAUGUACAUUAUUUCAUUUCAUCCUUACAGGAAACCUAUGAAGUAGCUUCAGUAGGUGAUAUUAAUCCCUACUUUAUAGAUUAGGAACUGAAGUUCAGGAUGUACUUGUCCAUGGUCAAACAGCUAGUAACAACCUGAAGUGAAAUUUAAACUUCCUUUCUUCUGAUUGAGU
RNAcentral lists this long non-coding RNA (1015 nucleotides) under Monodelphis domestica (gray short-tailed opossum). Its description in RNAcentral is "lncRNA (ENSMODG00000042046.1)". Lineage: Eukaryota; Metazoa; Chordata; Mammalia; Didelphimorphia; Didelphidae. The record is from RNAcentral.